Molecule: ribosomal RNA, 253 nt
Filed under: uncultured bacterium
Lineage: Bacteria
Description: partial 16S ribosomal RNA
Rfam family: Bacterial small subunit ribosomal RNA
Source: RNAcentral
UACGAGAGGCCCAAACGUUAUUCGGAAUCACUGGGCUUACAGGGUGCGUAGGCGGCUUGUUAAGUAGGGUGUGAAAGCCCCCGGCUCAACCGGGGAAUGGCGCCCUAAACUGGCGAGCUAGAGUGAGAUAGGGGUGUGUGGAACUUCCGGUGGAGCGGUGAAAUGUGUUGAUAUCGGAAGGAACGCCGGUGGCGAAAGCGACACACUGGAUCUUGUCUGACGCUGAGGCACGAAAGCCAGGGGAGCGAACGGG